UACGUAGGGUGCGAGCGUUAAUCGGAAUUACUGGGCGUAAAGUGUGCGCAGGUGGCCGCGCAAGUCGAGUGUGAAAGCCCCGGGCUUAACUUGGGAAUUGCGCUCGAAACUACGUGGCUAGAGUGUGGCAGGGGGAGGUGGAAUUCCACGUGUAGCGGUGAAAUGCGUAGAGAUGUGGAGGAACACCAAUGGCGAAGGCAGCCUUCUGGGCCAACACUGACGCUCAUGCACGAAAGCGUGGGGAGCAAACAGG
RNAcentral lists this ribosomal RNA (253 nucleotides) under uncultured bacterium. RNAcentral's name for it is "partial 16S ribosomal RNA". It matches the Rfam family "Bacterial small subunit ribosomal RNA", at positions 524 to 776 of the family's 1533-position model. The record is from RNAcentral.